GAUGAACGCUGGCGGCGUGCUUAACACAUGCGAGUCGAACGAAGCACUUAUCUUUGAUUCUUCGGAUGAAGAGGUUUGUGACUGAGUGGCGGACGGGUGAGUAACGCGUGGGUAACCUGCCUCAUACAGGGGGAUAACAGUUAGAAAUGACUGCUAAUACCGCAUAAGACCACGGAGCCGCAUGGCCCAGUGGGAAAAACUCCGGUGGUAUGAGAUGGACCCGCGUCUGAUUAGGUAGUUGGUGGGGUAACGGCCUACCAAGCCAACGAUCAGUAGCCGACCUGAGAGGGUGACCGGCCACAUUGGGACUGAGACACGGCCCAAACUCCUACGGGAGGCAGCAGUGGGGAAUAUUGCACAAUGGGGGAAACCCUGAUGCAGCGACGCCGCGUGAGCGAAGAAGUAUUUCGGUAUGUAAAGCUCUAUCAGCAGGGAAGAAAAUGACGGUACCUGACUAAGAAGCACCGGCUAAAUACGUG
This 479-nucleotide ribosomal RNA is filed under the name uncultured bacterium. Its description in RNAcentral is "partial 16S ribosomal RNA". It matches the Rfam family "Bacterial small subunit ribosomal RNA", at positions 28 to 507 of the family's 1533-position model. The record is from RNAcentral.